This 432-nucleotide ribosomal RNA is filed under the name Triticum aestivum (bread wheat). Its description in RNAcentral is "partial small subunit ribosomal RNA". Lineage: Eukaryota; Viridiplantae; Streptophyta; Magnoliopsida; Poales; Poaceae. The record is from RNAcentral.
AUGAUCGGCGGCAGGCUCACCCUUGAUAAGAGUUGGGUCGAUUUCUAUGAAGUUCACGAGGUCACGAUCGGGUGCCCUAUCACCUUAAAGUUGUUGAGUUCUGCGGACUUGAAGGUCUCAAGGACGAGGUCAUUAAGGCGGUGGCAAAGUGUGGGCCACAGCACAAAGCAUUUGACAUGGAUGUCGAGGGUGCUGGUGGUGCUGAGGGUGCUUAGAGUGUUAUCUCUGCUAUCUCCGCUAUCCACUUUAAAGACUAUAUGUGUUAUGACUGUUAUAAUUAUGGUUUAUCAUAUGGUUAUGGUUGAGGUGAGUACUAAGGCGCCAAUCGACCGGCCCAAAUUUGGGCUGUCCACACGUAGCCACCCAAUUUUAACGAUUACACCCGUCCGAUUUGGCGUCCUACUUCGUCCACCUCGUCUCGUACGGGGUUGA